This is a non-coding RNA of Podarcis lilfordi (Lilford's wall lizard), 74 nucleotides long. Lineage: Eukaryota; Metazoa; Chordata; Lepidosauria; Squamata; Lacertidae. The record is from the annotation of a GenBank genome assembly.
GCUGGAGUAGCUCAGUAAGUAGAGCAUGUGACUUUCAAUCUCAGGGUUGUGGGUUCGAGCCCCAACAUGGGGCA